Molecule: ribosomal RNA, 485 nt
Filed under: uncultured Bacilli bacterium
Lineage: Bacteria; Bacillati; Bacillota; Bacilli
Description: bacterial SSU rRNA
Rfam family: Bacterial small subunit ribosomal RNA
Source: RNAcentral
CUGGCGGCGUGCCUAAUACAUGCAAGUCGAGCGGACCGACGGGAGCUUGCUCCCUUAGGUCAGCGGCGGACGGGUGAGUAACACGUGGGUAACCUGCCUGUAAGACUGGGAUAACUCCGGGAAACCGGGGCUAAUACCGGAUGCUUGAUUGAACCGCAUGGUUCCAAUCAUAAAAGGUGGCUUUUAGCUACCACUUACAGAUGGACCCGCGGCGCAUUAGCUAGUUGGUGAGGUAACGGCUCACCAAGGCGACGAUGCGUAGCCGACCUGAGAGGGUGAUCGGCCACACUGGGACUGAGACACGGCCCAGACUCCUACGGGAGGCAGCAGUAGGGAAUCUUCCGCAAUGGACGAAAGUCUGACGGAGCAACGCCGCGUGAGUGAUGAAGGUUUUCGGAUCGUAAAACUCUGUUGUUAGGGAAGAACAAGUACCGUUCGAAUAGGGCGGCACCUUGACGGUACCUAACCAGAAAGCCACGGCUAAC